This 254-nucleotide ribosomal RNA is filed under the name uncultured bacterium. Its description in RNAcentral is "partial 16S ribosomal RNA". It matches the Rfam family "Bacterial small subunit ribosomal RNA", at positions 524 to 776 of the family's 1533-position model. The record is from RNAcentral.
UACAGAGGUGGCAAGCGUUGUUCGGAAUUACUGGGCGUAAAGGGCGCGUAGGUGGCCCGGUCAGUUCGUGGUGAAAGCGCGGGGCUCAACCCUGCGUCGGCCAUGAAUACUGCCGCGGCUGGAGCACUGUAGAGGCAGGCGGAAUUCCGGGUGUAGCGGUGGAAUGCGUAGAGAUCCGGAAGAACACCGGUGGCGAAGGCGGCCUGCUGGGCAGUUGCUGACACUGAGGCGCGACAGCGUGGGGAGCAAACAGG